CCUACGGGCGGCAGCAGUGAGGAAUAUUGGUCAAUGGGCGAGAGCCUGAACCAGCCAAGUCGCGUGAACGAUGACGGCCCUACGGGUUGUAAACUUCUUUUGUCAGGGAGCAAUUGGGUCCACGCGUGGGCUUAGCGAGAGUACCUGAAGAACAAGCAUCGGCUAACUCCGUCCCAGCAGCGGCGGUAAUAGGGAGGAUGCGAGCUUUAUCCGGAUUUAUGGGGUUUGAAAGGUGCGUAAGGGGAAUAUCAAGGCAGCGGGAAAAAUUCGGGGGCCAACCCCGUCGUGCCGUUGAAACUGAUGUUCUUGAGUGGGCGAGAAGUAUGCGGAAUGCGUGGUGUAGCGGUGAAAUGCAUAGAUAUCACGCAGAACUCCGAUUGCGAAGGCAGCAUACCGGCGCCCAACUGACGCUGAAGCACGAAAGCGUGGGUAUCGAACAGGAUUAGAUACCCUUGUAGUC
Molecule: ribosomal RNA, 460 nt
Filed under: uncultured bacterium
Lineage: Bacteria
Description: partial 16S ribosomal RNA
Rfam family: Bacterial small subunit ribosomal RNA
Source: RNAcentral